This 1203-nucleotide long non-coding RNA is filed under the name Monodelphis domestica (gray short-tailed opossum). Its description in RNAcentral is "lncRNA (ENSMODG00000031544.2)". The record is from RNAcentral. Lineage: Eukaryota; Metazoa; Chordata; Mammalia; Didelphimorphia; Didelphidae.
AAAAAAAAAAUUAAACCCAGGGGGGAAAAAAACACCAAAUCUAAUAUAAAAUAGUUUCUUAGUAGGUCAUACAGAUUCUAAGACAGAUUUGAUAGUGUAAUGAUAAUCAGAAGAUCUGUCAGCUAUUAGAAGCUGGGGAUAAUGCUUUCCCAUAGACAACUGCUUGGCUGAAAAUGAUCUGGACAUUUUAGUGACUAGUGAAAUUAAUAAGAGUCAACAGUUUGACUUGGUAGCUGAGAAAGGUAAUAUGUUGUUAAGGUAUAUUAAAAAAUAGUGUUUGGUAUUAAGGCAAUAGUACUAUUAUUCUCUGACCUGGCCCAACAUCUGGAAUAAUGUAUACAUUUUUGGUGCCAUAUUUUCAAAAGGGCAUAUAGGAACUGGAGACUCUACUCAAUGGUGAUUGACUACAGACAUAACAUAUCAUAUAAUAUAAAUCAUAACACAAGAUAACAUAUUGAAGGAAUUUGAACAUUCUUGUGCCUGCAGAAGAGAAUGGUGGUAAGGAAUCAUGAGAAUUAUCUUCAAAUAUAUGGAAGAAGGGUUGGGUUUUUCUGUUUCCAUUUAGAGAGCAGAACUAGGAGCAAAGCGUGGACAUCUGACAAAUUUUUGCUUGGAGUAAUGUAAACUUCCUAAGUGAACUGUCUGAAGGGAAAAUGGACUGUCUUGAUCAAUGGUGGGUUUCUCCCCACUUGAAAUCAUCAAGCAAAAGAUGAAUGACAUUUUCCCAGGUCUAAUUUGGUGGAGAGGUGGCUGGUGGCAGUGGUGCUGGGCAUCUUGGCAUCUUGGCGUGGCUACAGCUAUUGUCCGGGUUUGGAGUAUUGGAAACUUCAUCACAGUGAGAUGGGAACCAAAUGAAGAAAUAUAUACUGGGUAUUUUCAUCAUGUCCAAUUCUUCAUGAUCUCAUUUGGAGUUUUCUUGGUAAAGAAACUGGAAUGGUUUACCAUUUCCUUCAUCACCUCACUUUACAGAAGCAUCAAUUGAGGUCAACAAGGUUGAGUGACUUUGCCAGAGUCAUACAAUCAAUACAUAUCUGAGGCCCAGUUUGAAUUCAGGUCUCCUGACUAGUACUCUAUUCACUAUGCACUUAACUGCCCCAGAAUGUAUGUAUUAUAAUAUAUAUAUAUGUAUAUAUAUAUAUAUUUGUAUUUAUAGACACAUAUAUAAAUUCAUAAAUACAAAUGAGUCACAUAGUAUGAGAAAAU